GCUCCAGUUCUACCACCAGUGGCUGGUUUUGCACCGGGGCUGUGGAUGUGCUUUGUGUCCACCCUCACAUACCGAGUAUCGAAGACCAGAGGCAACACACUCGCGAAGGAGCUUGGUGCCCACAGGAUAUUAUCAGGUGUGAUCUUAAAGAAACUCGAAUUCCUUAAAGGCUGGGUGUUUGGAGAGCCCUGACUUGUGGGAUUUUCCUCUCAGAACACGGCAAGGAGACCUCAACGCCUCCAGGACUCACUCGGCUUUUCCGGACGGUGUGAGGCUUUUCACGGCGCCAUUUGGGAUCUACUUGAUACAGACGAAUGUGCUUCCUGAUCUUUCUGCCUCUGUUGUUCUGAGUCCUGCUCUUUGGGCAACGUUCGAAACAACCACAACCUCUCACUCUCAUCACAUUUACUGAUUUGCCAAAUUCUUCCAUCAUCUCAGCUGAUGUUGGUACAUGCACCUUUUUCUAUCCUCUGUAGUCUUUGGUGGCCAGGAAGUGAUUUAUGGAAGAUGCCACGCAGUCCUCCGGCAGCCUGUUGGGCCGAGUCCCUUUUGCCUUCUCUUGGGCCGCUGCCUCUGGUCAGCGCGGCUCGGAGGAGGAGACGGCCCAGCCAGCUGGCCCUUCUGAGCGGCCUGGGGAAGACGCGCCAGCACCCUUCAAACCAGGA
Microcebus murinus (gray mouse lemur) is the source of this 665-nucleotide non-coding RNA. Lineage: Eukaryota; Metazoa; Chordata; Mammalia; Primates; Cheirogaleidae. The record is from RefSeq and is a predicted model, not a curated record.